This 472-nucleotide ribosomal RNA is filed under the name uncultured bacterium. RNAcentral describes it as "partial 16S ribosomal RNA". It matches the Rfam family "Bacterial small subunit ribosomal RNA", at positions 28 to 507 of the family's 1533-position model. The record is from RNAcentral.
GACGAACGCUGGCGGCGUGCUUAACACAUGCAAGUCGAACGCUGAAGCUUGGUGCUUGCACUGGGUGGAUGAGUGGCGAACGGGUGAGUAAUACGUGAGUAACCUGCCCUUGACUCUGGGAUAAGCCUGGGAAACUGGGUCUAAUACUGGAUACGACAUGCCACUGCAUGGUGGUGUGUGGAAAGGGUUUUACUGGUUUUGGAUGGGCUCACGGCCUAUCAGCUUGUUGGUGGGGUAAUGGCCUACCAAGGCGACGACGGGUAGCCGGCCUGAGAGGGUGACCGGCCACACUGGGACUGAGAAACGGCCCAGACUCCUACGGGAGGCAGCAGUGGGGAAUAUUGCACAAUGGGCGGAAGCCUGAUGCAGCGACGCCGCGUGAGGGAUGACGGCCUUCGGGUUGUAAACCUCUUUCAGCACGGAAGAAGCGAGAGUGACGGUACGUGCAGAAGAAGCGCCGGCUAACUACGUG